GCGCUCCCUUAGGCAGCGCACGGAAUGAAAACGGAACCAGAUGGGGAAGAUUAACAUGGCCCCCAUGCAAGGGUGACACACAGACUCACGAAGCGUUCCGCGUUUUC
Molecule: small nuclear RNA, 107 nt
Organism: Peromyscus leucopus (white-footed mouse)
Lineage: Eukaryota; Metazoa; Chordata; Mammalia; Rodentia; Cricetidae
Source: RefSeq, a predicted model, not a curated record